UACGGAGGGUGCAAGCGUUGUCCGGAAUCACUGGGCGUAAAGGGCGCGUAGGUGGCGCGGGGAGUCAACGGUGAAAGUUCGGGGCUCAACCCUGAAUCGGCCGUCGAUACUCCCGUGCUUGAGCACUGUAGAGGCAGAUGGAAUUCCGGGUGUAGCGGUGGAAUGCGUAGAGAUCCGGAAGAACACCGGUGGCGAAGGCGAGUCUCUGGACAGCAACUGACGCUGAGGCACGAAGGCCAGGGGAGCAAACGGG
Molecule: ribosomal RNA, 253 nt
Filed under: uncultured prokaryote
Description: partial 16S ribosomal RNA
Rfam family: Bacterial small subunit ribosomal RNA
Source: RNAcentral